This is a long non-coding RNA of Alexandromys fortis (reed vole), 588 nucleotides long. RefSeq lists it as uncharacterized. The record is from RefSeq and is a predicted model, not a curated record. NCBI's taxonomy places the organism in Eukaryota, Metazoa, Chordata, Mammalia, Rodentia, Cricetidae. The transcript has 3 exons.
GGAAGCUCCUGGAGGGCCAGCCCCGCCCCCCCACCUCAGCCCAGCACUCCCUCUCUCUUCUCCACUAUGGACAGAGAAGGCACUGAGAAGCCCGCCGGCUACACGCCCAGCUGAUAUGGGGACCAACAGAGCCAUGAGCCUGGGUUCAGCAAUCCUUGGUUUACUCCUGCUCCAAGGCUACAGCUCUCAGUCCACGACGACUCAGACCUCCCCAGGAGACCAACCUUCCUCAGGGCCCGGCAGUUCAAGGCUUCUGCUUAGCACCACUUCCCCAGGUACUCCGCUGCCAGGACUAUAAAUGGUGCCCAGAGAGGGCCCAGGAAGAACUUGGCCAUGUCAGCUCUGCAGGAGAAUGUAGACUUGUAGCAGAAGGAACAGGGCCUUACACUGGUGAUACCAAAAUAGGGAAGCAAAAGCAGGUGUCACAGGACCCGUGCAAACAUCACCCGCAUCCGACAUCAGCUCUGGAGGACCCUCCCCACAGGCAGUGGCCUCAAGAUCUGAACCUGUGAAGGAGUGAGAUGAGCAAAUGGAGGUUGUGGGGUGGAAGGUGGGGAAGAUGGGUUCCAAGAUGAGCAAGCUGCAAAG